GAAGCUCAAAUUGUAAAUCGGGAACCCUAAUAGGUUUCCGAAUUGUAGUCUAGAGAUACGUUGCCAGCGAUCGACCGAGGUAUAAAUUUUUUUGGAACAAGGUAUCAUAGAGGGUGAGAAUCCCGUCUGUGACCUCGAGUUCGUCGCGUACGGCACGCAUUCAUUGAGUCGAAUAGCUUGGGAUUGCUGUUCUAAAUUGGUGGUAAAUUUCAUCAAAAGCUAAAUAUUGGCGGAAGACCGAUAGCGAA
Molecule: ribosomal RNA, 248 nt
Filed under: Kraken sp.
Lineage: Eukaryota; Cercozoa
Description: partial large subunit ribosomal RNA
Rfam family: Eukaryotic large subunit ribosomal RNA
Source: RNAcentral